RNAcentral lists this unclassified non-coding RNA (190 nucleotides) under rhizosphere metagenome. RNAcentral's name for it is "partial ribosomal RNA internal transcribed spacer region". The record is from RNAcentral.
GUAGGUGAACCUGCGGAAGGAUCAUUAAUAGUGCCCUCUGAUGCAAAUCAUUGGGUUAGAUCUGCUCUCUUCGCAAGAAGAGGGUUUCCAUACACACCGUGAACUGUGGCUUCGGCCAUCACAAACUGUUAGUAAUGAAUGUAAUAUCAUAACAAAAACAAAACUUUUAACAACGGAUCUCUUGGCUCUC